UUGAAAGGGAAACGAUUGAAGUCAGUCGUGCAGUCAUCAAAUCAGCGUUAACAUAGCUGAACUUAUCGGGUGGCGUGUGUUAAAACCGUCACCAGGUAAGUCCAGCUAUGCUAGCGCGUACUUUGGUGUCUGCUGGUUAGCAUCAAUUUUGAUUGUCAUAAAAAGGUUAAGGGGAUGUGGCUCCUUCGGGAGUGUUAUAACCCUUGGCGGAAUGUGACGAUUGGGAUUGAGGUUUGCAACGAAUACCUUUAGGGCAGUUCCUUCUGGUCUCUUGUUGACGUUCAGAUGGCGACAGCUUGCUGACGUUGUUUGAAUAGUUGGCGAAUAGAUUGGAAUGUGAAUUAAUUCGUUAAGGAUGUUGACGUA
This 366-nucleotide ribosomal RNA is filed under the name uncultured Glomeromycotina. Its description in RNAcentral is "LSU rRNA". The record is from RNAcentral. Lineage: Eukaryota; Fungi; Glomeromycota.